This 106-nucleotide ribosomal RNA is filed under the name Streptomyces shenzhenensis. RNAcentral describes it as "Streptomyces sp. 172115 Bacterial large subunit ribosomal RNA". It matches the Rfam family "Bacterial large subunit ribosomal RNA", at positions 2819 to 2925 of the family's 2925-position model. RNAcentral also lists the same sequence under 4 other names. Lineage: Bacteria; Bacillati; Actinomycetota; Actinomycetes; Kitasatosporales; Streptomycetaceae. The record is from Rfam by way of RNAcentral.
CUUGAUGGGGUAAGGCUCCCAGUAGACGACUGGGUUGAUAGGCCGGAUCUGGAAGCACGGUAACGUGUGGAGGUGACCGGUACUAAUAGGCCGAGGGCUUGUCCUC